UUGCUUUGAUAUUCCACUCCUCUAAUCACCUCUUGUGUGUGUCCACUUUGGUUGAGAGGGUUGUCUCAAUAGUACCAAAGUGUGAGGAAAGGUUUGUGAGCUCAACCAUAAAGCUCUGUUUGGUUUUAUAGAGUUUCCAGGAAAACUCUUAGGUGUGAGUCUACCUGUAAAAGACUGGUUCCUAAGCGAAGUAGCCUUAAAGCUUAGAGAGGUUCUUAAGAGUGCCCUGUAAUACUCUAAGGUGUGAGUCUACCCGUAAAAGACUGGUUCCUAAGCGUAGUAGCCUUAAAGCUUAGAGAGGUUUUUAAGAGUUCCUUGAAUACUCUAAGGUACUAACUUACCCGUAAAAGUUAGAGGUUCUUAAGAGUGCCCUGUAAUACUCUAAGGUGUGAGUCUACCCGUAAAAGACUGGUUCCUAACCGUAGUAGCCUUAAAGCUUAGAAAAGGUUUUGCCAUUACCUUUAGGCGAGUGAAAUCCGGCAGUUGGUCGGGACUGGACUAGCCCGUGUUUGGGUGAACCAGUAUAAAUCUCUUGUGUUGUUCUCUGUUAAUUUUAGUCUUAUCUUUCACUUAAAAAACAACACAUAAUUAAAAAGAUCCCUCUUCCAGUUAUCUGGUCAAGUACAGAGGUUGACUACUUUACGCAGAUCCCUCAUCCAGUUAUCUGGUCAACUAUCUGAGGUUAUAUUUAUUGCUUUAAAUUCUUAUAUUUCUUAUCAUAUUUAUCCAGUUAUCUGGUCAUUUACUUGUUUAUCAAAUUAUCCAGUUAUCUGGUCAGUUACUUGUUUAUCAAUAUAUCCAGUUAUCUGGUCAUUUACUUGCUUAUCUAUAUAUCCAGUUAUCUGGUCAUUUACUCUACAAUACAAUUUGUGUUUUCAAUAUAACUUAGUAUUCAUAUACUAUAGUUGUACUUGAAACAUUAUCAAGCAAGUUGACUCAGUAUUCAUUUACUGUAGUAAGCUUCAAAGAGUAAUACUUGCAAUACUAUAAAAUAAUAAUAUUCUUAUAUCAUUACUGUUCAACCAUUUGUUUGCUAAGUAUUUACAGGUAAUUCCGCUAUCAACCUGUCUAAAUCGAAAAGAGGCUAUCACCCCCCCUUAUAGCCUCGGAUCACGAUCCA
This 1120-nucleotide long non-coding RNA is filed under the name Zostera marina. RNAcentral describes it as "long non-coding RNA (ZMAR_LNC000456)". Lineage: Eukaryota; Viridiplantae; Streptophyta; Magnoliopsida; Alismatales; Zosteraceae. The record is from RNAcentral.